Long non-coding RNA from Zalophus californianus (California sea lion), 1098 nucleotides. RefSeq lists it as uncharacterized. The record is from RefSeq and is a predicted model, not a curated record. The transcript has 3 exons. NCBI's taxonomy places the organism in Eukaryota, Metazoa, Chordata, Mammalia, Carnivora, Otariidae.
GGAAGGCUUCCUGGAAGAGGCAAGACCUGAGCUGGAUCUCUAGGGCUGGAGAGAGCUGAACCACUGACAGUGGGAAAAAUUUAUCCCAACUAUUUUCAGGAGCCAGACAGCCCAGAUUCCAACCCCAGUUCCAGGUCUCACCAACUGUGCACGCUUAGGACACUUGAACUAUGGGAGAUAAGAAGCCUUCCAAUAAAUAAGUCCUGCCCUCAAAAAGCUUGCAGAACAGUCAACAGAAUCUGUCACAUGAAAACAGUACAGCAGUAGAAAUUUCACUGGCAAUUUGGUUUAAGUUUGGAGCUAAGAACUACAAAUUAGGAUUUAGGAUAUACAACACCUGUAUGCCUUCCCCAUCCCCAUAAUAUGUCCAGCUUCCUACUGUGGUCACCGGGCAGCCUAUAAAAAGCAAGGUUACUCACCUCCAGCUUUUCAAAUGAACACACGGUAUCAAAUAUAGAAACCAGAGGAAGCUUCAUUGUUAUGGAGCCAAACUGAUUGAGAGCAAGUGUGAGUGCUCUAAAUAUAUAGAAGAACUAGCAGAUUUAAGAUGCAGACUCUUACAGGCUAUGAAUCCAAGAUCAAUCACUGAAGAGUCCAAGUAUAUAAUCAGAGAGUCUGUCACAGCACGAGCUGUCGGUGCCAGAACACAAAAUCGGCACCACGCCCAGAGCUGCUAAAAAAUAAAGCCAGGACCAGGGUGGUCGUGGUGCCAGAGGGAAAUUUCAGAAGCAACACUUUUGAAAUGCAAAACAGAAGCAGGAGCAAGUACCAGAAUUCUGCAAAAAUGCAAAACAAGUACUAGGUUGAGUCAUACUAAAAAUGCCAAGUAAGCAGCAGGCCAAGUACAGCCAAGACCCAUUUUUAAUGAAGCAGCUCUAGCGCACAUGGGUGCUCCGGACAUACCAGCACGAGGAAGAAAGUCCUUCCACCAGGUUCUGCCCUCUGCAAAAGCAAAAAGCAGGUGGACUAAGAAGGCAGCUCAGCCGAGUGCAGUGCAUCUCUGAAAGCAGAAACCCAGGUGGAAAGGAACAGCUCCUUCAAAAGCUCUCGAUGAGGAGUGCGGAAUGCCUCCUUGGAAGCAUAUCCUCGGGCCCUGUU